Molecule: long non-coding RNA, 474 nt
Filed under: Theobroma cacao (cacao)
Lineage: Eukaryota; Viridiplantae; Streptophyta; Magnoliopsida; Malvales; Malvaceae
Description: long non-coding RNA (TCAC_LNC004720)
Source: RNAcentral
UUUCCACUGGGACUGAGGUGUCCUCGUGCUUCAUCUCCUCUUCUUUCUUUUCUCCUCCCAACUUCUCCUCGAUCUUUUCUUUCAGUCCUUUCUUCUCCUUCUUUUCCUUCUUCUUCUUCUUCUUCUUCUCUUCUCCUUCACCUUCCUCCUCGUCGCUGGACUGCACAUUCAGAAAACAGAUUGCAUAUUCCGAGAUCAGUCUCGAUAAAUCUCAUGAUCAAGGGAUACUAAAUAUAUAGUGAUUAAUUAAAACUGUAAGAUAAAAAUGGAAAUUUUCUCCACCCAGUUAACUCUUUGUACUGUUUUAACAUAAAAGAUUAUCAAAGUACUUACAGAGCUAGAGCUGCUAUCCGAUCGGUGAAGCUUCUCCAGGAGACUGUGUUUCUUCUCCUCUCCUGCUUCCUUCUUGUGCUCCUCCUCUACCUUUGUCUCUUCUAUCUUAACCUUCUCAUCAAAUUCGGUGGCGAUCACCAC